CGGGGUGAGUAACGCGUGGAGAACCUGCCGUAUACUGGGGGAGUAACACUUAGAAAUAGGUGCUAAUACCGCAUAAGCGCACAGCUUCGCAUGAAGCAGUGUGAAAAACUCCGGUGGUAUACGAUGGAUCCGCGUCUGAUUAGCUGGUUGGCGGGGUAAAGGCCCACCAAGGCGACGAUCAGUAGCCGGCCUGAGAGGGUGAACGGCCACAUUGGGACUGAGACACGGCCCAAACUCCUACGGGAGGCAGCAG
Molecule: ribosomal RNA, 253 nt
Filed under: uncultured bacterium
Lineage: Bacteria
Description: partial 16S ribosomal RNA
Rfam family: Bacterial small subunit ribosomal RNA
Source: RNAcentral